AAGUGAAUCAGCAAUACUCCAAAUGUAUUUUCACCUACAGAAUAGUUGAAUAAUGUUUGCAUACAUUUAUAUUGUUCUCCUUGCUGAGAUCCCAGCCGUUCUGGGAGUGACUUUGAAUCAAGGUCAAAAGGCUUUGAGCAAAGCAGCGGGCAAAACAUUAUACUUGCCCUGUAAAGUGGCAGGUUUGCAGUCAUGGAAUUAUAUCCACUGGUACCAAAUGAGAGACGGUGAAGCCCCAUCGAGACUGCUUUAUAUCAAUGAAGGUGGUGCUGUCACUUACGAUACCAACAAUCCUCAGGCAAAUGACUUCACAGUGGACAGAAGAAAGCUUUAUGACCUAAAACUGGGUGAUGCUCAGCAAAAACACACUGCAGUUUACUUCUGCGCCUACUGGGACACAAGCAGCCACACUGAGAAUAUCUACUCACAUCCUGUACAAAAACUAUACUGGUAAUUGUAAUUAUAAUAUAUUUAACAAUUAAAUUAUAACUUUUUGUUUAAGUUUUUCAUUAAGAAUUAAGUUGUAGGCUAUACUGCAGUUAUGGGUCUGUUUGGAUCUAAACUGUAAUGGGGUAUUAUGCACACUGACUUUUAAUUUCAGCCAGCCAGCCUUAGCACUUCCGGUGAACUGGCUUUCCAUUAUAAAAUCGCCACGUUUAAGAUCUGAUUUUCUUUUUUAAAUCUGUGAUCUUCGCUGCCUGAUAGAUAUACAUUAUAAAGUGGGACUCAAACCAGACAAGAAGCACUGCAUGAAAUUCAAUUUCUCCCGUCAUGACUGUAAAAUAUUUUACCCCAGUAUUUUUAAAGGAGUUUCUGCGCUAGCUGCCUGACCUUGACGCUGCUAGCAGUUACACUGUCUUUCAUUUUGUUUUAUGCUUAAAAAUAAAUUAAUGCUUAAGUCUAUUUAACUGAUUGUAUU
Non-coding RNA from Danio rerio (zebrafish), 919 nucleotides. The record is from the annotation of a RefSeq genome assembly. NCBI's taxonomy places the organism in Eukaryota, Metazoa, Chordata, Actinopteri, Cypriniformes, Danionidae.